CUGGCUCAGGAUGAACGCUAGCUACAGGCUUAACACAUGCAAGUCGAGGGGCAGCAUGUGGUUGCUUGCAACCAAUGAUGGCGACCGGCGCACGGGUGAGUAACGCGUAUCCAACCUUCCCCUUAGUAGAGGAUAGCCCGGCGAAAGUCGGAUUAAUACUCUAUGUUCUUCAAUGCGGACAUCUAAGUUGAAGCAAAGAUUUAUCGCUAAGGGAUGGGGAUGCGUCUGAUUAGGUUGCAGGCGGGGUAACGGCCCACCUGGCCUACGAUCAGUAGGGGUUCUGAGAGGAAGGUCCCCCACACUGGUACUGAGACACGGACCAGACUCCUACGGGAGGCAGCAGUGAGGAAUAUUGGUCAAUGGGCGCGAGCCUGAACCAGCCAAGUAGCGUGCAGGAACCGACUGCCCUAUGGGUUGUAAACUGCUUUUAUCAGUGAAUAAAGUGAGGCACGCGUGCCUUUUUGUAUGUACCUGAUGAAUAAGGACCGGCUAAUUCCGUGCCAGCCGCUGC
Molecule: ribosomal RNA, 511 nt
Filed under: uncultured bacterium
Lineage: Bacteria
Description: bacterial SSU rRNA
Rfam family: Bacterial small subunit ribosomal RNA
Source: RNAcentral